Molecule: ribosomal RNA, 677 nt
Filed under: Escherichia coli
Lineage: Bacteria; Pseudomonadati; Pseudomonadota; Gammaproteobacteria; Enterobacterales; Enterobacteriaceae
Also listed under: 1 other name
Description: partial 23S ribosomal RNA
Rfam family: Bacterial large subunit ribosomal RNA
Source: RNAcentral
UUGCGGACAGUGUCUGGUGGGUAGUUUGACUGGGGCGGUCUCCUCCUAAAGAGUAACGGAGGAGCACGAAGGUUGGCUAAUCCUGGUCGGACAUCAGGAGGUUAGUGCAAUGGCAUAAGCCAGCUUGACUGCGAGCGUGACGGCGCGAGCAGGUGCGAAAGCAGGUCAUAGUGAUCCGGUGGUUCUGAAUGGAAGGGCCAUCGCUCAACGGAUAAAAGGUACUCCGGGGAUAACAGGCUGAUACCGCCCAAGAGUUCAUAUCGACGGCGGUGUUUGGCACCUCGAUGUCGGCUCAUCACAUCCUGGGGCUGAAGUAGGUCCCAAGGGUAUGGCUGUUCGCCAUUUAAAGUGGUACGCGAGCUGGGUUUAGAACGUCGUGAGACAGUUCGGUCCCUAUCUGCCGUGGGCGCUGGAGAACUGAGGGGGGCUGCUCCUAGUACGAGAGGACCGGAGUGGACGCAUCACUGGUGUUCGGGUUGUCAUGCCAAUGGCACUGCCCGGUAGCUAAAUGCGGAAGAGAUAAGUGCUGAAAGCAUCUAAGCACGAAACUUGCCCCGAGAUGAGUUCUCCCUGACCCUUUAAGGGUCCUGAAGGAACGUUGAAGACGACGACGUUGAUAGGCCGGGUGUGUAAGCGCAGCGAUGCGUUGAGCUAACCGGUACUAAUGAACCGUGAGG